UGGUUCUGGCAUCGAUGAAGAACGCAGCGAAAUGCGAUAAGUAAUGUGAAUUGCAGAAUUCAGUGAAUCAUCGAAUCUUUGAACGCACAUUGCGCUCUCCGGUAGCCCGGGGAGCAUGCCUGUUCGAGCGUCAUUUUAGACCAUCAAGCCCUGCUUGGUUUUGAAUAUAUACCUUUGAAAUACAAGGUAAAUUCUAAAUCGGUCGGCGACUGAGUUGUCCCUUAAGUGUAUUGGAACAUUUUAAAACGCUUAGAAGGGUUUCUCGUGUCAUGCCACUAAUGACACCAACUAUCUCAAGGUUGACCUCGGAUCAGGUAAGGGUACCCGCUGA
RNAcentral lists this unclassified non-coding RNA (331 nucleotides) under uncultured fungus. RNAcentral's name for it is "partial contains 5.8S ribosomal RNA and internal transcribed spacer 2". The stretch from base 1 to 133 matches the Rfam family "5.8S ribosomal RNA", at positions 22 to 154 of the family's 154-position model. The record is from RNAcentral. Lineage: Eukaryota; Fungi.